This 595-nucleotide long non-coding RNA is filed under the name Salmo salar (Atlantic salmon). RNAcentral describes it as "lncRNA (ENSSSAG00000097056.1)". Lineage: Eukaryota; Metazoa; Chordata; Actinopteri; Salmoniformes; Salmonidae. The record is from RNAcentral.
CCUUGACCAAGUUCCAGGAAGUGACCAACAACCUGGAUUUUGCAAGGGAGUUGCAGAAGAGCUUCCUGUCUUUGGGGCAAGAGAUUCAGAAGCAUUGAGUUUGUAGGAGAGAAGAGGACGACCCAUGGUCGCUAGAAUGAAGACACAGUAGCAGAAUACAAUGAAGAGAGGACGACCCAUGGUCACUAGAUAGAAGCAUGAGAACGACAGGGAAGCACGCUGACAGUCCGGUCAAAGGAGCAUGUUCUCCACGUCCGACAAGUCCUCCUCCAGCACCUUCUCGAGAAUCCAAGGCGGAGAAGUGGGGAAUUCUACUACCUCUACUACCUCUUUCUGAGAUAACGUCAUCGCUGCCGAAGACAGCGAGGAAAACGCUAAGAACUAAAAAAAGGCAAACGGUCAGUGGUCUGACUGUGGAGCAUCUCGUCUGUGUCUGAUUUUCAGCUGCUGUCGUCCUGAGUGUAUCCGUCUGCGGAUCAGUCUGAGGCCCAAAUAUGAUGCACUAUGGGCUCUGAUCAAAUGUAGUUUACUACAUAGGGAAUAGGGUGCCAUUUGCGACGCAGAUGGUGUGUCUGCAGGAGGACCAGCACCAGGG